RNAcentral lists this ribosomal RNA (497 nucleotides) under uncultured bacterium. RNAcentral describes it as "partial 16S ribosomal RNA". It matches the Rfam family "Bacterial small subunit ribosomal RNA", at positions 28 to 507 of the family's 1533-position model. The record is from RNAcentral.
GAUGAACGCUGGCGGCGUGCCUAAUACAUGCAAGUCGAGCGAACGGACGAGAAGCUUGCUUCUCUGAUGUUAGCGGCGGACGGGUGAGUAACACGUGGAUAACCUACCUAUAAGACUGGGAUAACUUCGGGAAACCGGAGCUAAUACCGGAUAAUAUUAUGAACCGCAUGGUUCAAAAGUGAAAGACGGUCUUGCUGUCACUUAUAGAUGGACCCGCGCUGCAUUAGCUAGUUGGUAAGGUAACGGCUUACCAAGGCAACGAUGCAUAGCCGACCUGAGAGGGUGAUAGGCCGCACUAGAACUGAGACACGGUCCAGGCUCCUACGGGAGGCAGCAGUAGGGAAUCUUCCGCAAGGGGCGAAAGCCUGACGGAGCAACGCCGCGUGAGUGAUGAAGGUCUUCGGAUCGUAAAACUCUGUUAUUAGGGAAGAACAUAUGUGUAAGUAACUGUGCACAUCUUGACGGUACCUAAUCAGAAAGCCACGGCUAACUACGUG